CCUACGGGAGGCAGCAGUGGGGGAUAUUGUACAAUGGGGGAAACCCUGAUGCAGCGACGCCGCGUGUGGGAAGACGGUCUUCUGGAUUGUAAACCACUGUCCCCAGGGACGAAAAUGAUGGUACCUGGGGAGGAAGCUCCGGCUAACUACGUGCCAGCAGCCGCGGUAAUACGUAGGGAGCAAGCGUUGUCCGGAAUUACUGGGUGUAAAGGGAGCGUAGGCGGGGAUGCAAGUUGGGUGUCAAAACUACCGGCUCAACCGAUAGUCGCACUCAAAACUGCAACUCUUGAGUGAAGUAGAGGCAUGCGGAAUGCGUAGUGUAGCGGUGAAAUGCGUAGAUAUUAGGAGGAACACCAGUGGCGAAGGCGGCCUGCUGGGCUUUUACUGACGCUGAGGCUCGAAAGUGUGGGGAGCAAACAGGAUUAGAUACCCGAGUAGUC
Molecule: ribosomal RNA, 440 nt
Filed under: uncultured bacterium
Lineage: Bacteria
Description: partial 16S ribosomal RNA
Rfam family: Bacterial small subunit ribosomal RNA
Source: RNAcentral